This 292-nucleotide long non-coding RNA is filed under the name Mytilus galloprovincialis (Mediterranean mussel). Lineage: Eukaryota; Metazoa; Mollusca; Bivalvia; Mytilida; Mytilidae. The record is from RNAcentral.
CAAAAGACCAAAAUGACACAGACAUUAACAACUAUAGGUCACCGUACGGACUUCAACAAUUAGCAAAGCCCAUACCGCAUAGUCAGCUAUAAUAGGCCCCGAUAAGACAAUGUAAAACAAUUCAAACGAGAAAACUAACGGCCUUAUUUAUGUAAACAAAAAUGAACGCAAAACAAAUGUGUAAUACAUAAACAAACGACAACCACUGAAUUACAGGCUCCUGACUUGGGACAGGCACAUACAUAAAUAAUGUGGCGGGGUUAAACAUGUUAGCGGGAUCCCAACCCUCCCC